Molecule: long non-coding RNA, 2605 nt
Organism: Erinaceus europaeus (western European hedgehog)
Lineage: Eukaryota; Metazoa; Chordata; Mammalia; Eulipotyphla; Erinaceidae
Exons: 2
Source: RefSeq, a predicted model, not a curated record
AUUUCUAUAACUAUCUUUUUUUUCUUGUAUAGGCCCGUUUUAUUGCUCCCCCCAGUAGAUCUGUGCUGCUUAUUUGAAUUUGUGUUAACAAAAUUAAUAAGUUACUGUGUUGUUUGUUUUUUGCCUCCAGAGUUAUUGCUGGGGCUCUGUGCCUGCUCUACAAAUCCGCUGUCUGGAGACCAUCUUUUUUUCCAUUGUUGUUGUUGCGGUUAUUGCUGCUGCUGUUGUUAGAUAGGACAGAGAGAAAUUGAGAGAGGAAGGUAGUGAGGAAGAUAGACAUCUGAAGACUUGCUUGCAGAGCGAUCACUUUUGAAGCGACCCCCCUGAAGGUGGGGAACCGGGGGCUCGAACAAGGAUCCUUGUGGCACUGAGUUACUGUGUUCUAAGGGAGAAAGUUGGGGAACAUAGUUCUUUGAAAUGUAAUAGCUGCACUGCUUUCACAAAAAUGUGUUGAUAAUUGUAUAUACCAUGGCUUUGAUUCUCUUCUCCUUGUAACACAUUUGAAGGGAUAUUUAGGCUGCCAGAUAUUACAGUAAUGCUAAAUGAGUUCCUGGAGACAUCAAAGCCAGGUAUCAAAAACCAUCUAUGUUUUGUGUGCCUGUGAAAUAUUUCUAGUGGCAGCAAACAUACCCCAUCUGUCAUGUCUGUCUCAAGCCUAAUAACAGUCUAAAUCCUGUCCAGACUAUAUGAUCUUUAUCCCUAUGAUUAUGACCUUCAAUUUUUGGAAUCAUUUCCUUUUUUACAUUACAGUAAUAAAAUAUGAGGAUCUUAUUAAUUGUGUCUGCCUAGUUGGUUAGUGUGGGUGUUAAUUUGUUUGAGGUCACAGGUUUAUCCUAGUAAAAACUGUUACCUCUUAAAGGUAGGAAGCCAAGGUUCGAAGUCUAACCCAGGGUUAAAACUACACAGAGUAGCAUUCAGAAAGCUUUAUGCUUGAUUGACCUUUGCUACAGCCUGAAUUAUAUCUUUUAUUUACAUCAUCUCCCUCUUAAAGGUGCUACAUUUCCUACAGUUUUGUCUCAGUUGAUGGCACUAUUAUCUACUCACACAAAUGAGAAAUGGGGGAUGCAGCCAGAGUUUUUUUCUCUUUUUUUUUUUUUCCUUUUCUACUGGAAAGAGCACUGCUCAGCUCUGGCUCGUGGUGGUGAUUGAACUUGAGACUUUGCAGCCUCAGGCAUGAGAGUCUCUUUAUAUAACCAUUACGCUGUGUACCCCUGCCCAGCCAGAACUUUUUCUACACCCUCCAGCCCCAUGUGUAGUCAUCCUCUGUGCAGUUAGAUUUUAAUUCUUUAAUACUGCUCAAACCAUCUCUACUGUUACCUCCCUAGUUUAGCAUUUGUCUUAUGUGCCAUUCUAAUAGCUACACAGUUAAGCAUAAAAUAUUAAUAAAUAUGCUGUUAUAUAGAAAGCAAGUAUCUAUUUCCUUCCAACUGCCCCCCCCAAUCAAUCCUCUGUACCACUAUUGUUGAAGUGAACUUCAUAAAAGGCAAGCCUGAACCUUGUUGUUAACCCACCAGUCGAUCCACUGUCUGCAGAAUCAAGUCUUGACCUCUUGACCCAAUAAGUAAAACUCUUCAUUAUCUGCUUCUGUCAAUCCAUGUAGCCCAGCGUUGUAUCUUAUCAUCCCCUCACAUGCAGACACACUGACCUCCCACAUGAAGUGCAUGUGCUACACACUCAGGUCUCUUAUGCCCUGCUUGGUUAGUUUCAGUACAUGUCAGCCACUCUGGCAUUCUGCCUCAUUGUCUGCUGACUUCCUGGCCAAAUGUGGCUCUCAUUUCUUCCAGGGUGCCUCUGUUGAACACCUUUCUUGACCCUUUUCCUAACAGAAAUGGGCUCUGUGUCUCAAGUAUCUCCAGACCUCCUUUGUUCCACGUUUCACUCUGUACCACCAUUUGUUGGUCUCUGUCUUUUCCCAUGGAAUGGCAUUUUGACUUUUCCAUCCUCUUAUCCCCAGCUCAUAUGACUGUGCCUAAUCAGUGUGUUUAUUUAAAGUUUUUUUUUUUACUGGGUUUUUUGUUUGUUUUGUUUCAUUUGUCACAUUUCUUUCUUGAUUUCUAGCAAUAACAGGAAAUCACCUAAAAUGAUUAUUAUGUUAUUUGUUGAACUCUCAAAUGAAUAAUUCCAAGCACUUAUUUAUCUGACAGAUUUUAUUCUUCAAUUUUCAUCUAGCAACUAAAUAGUUUUAGUUUCCAUCCCAGCACCAUUUGCCAUUUAUAGUGUAGACCCUUUAAACUUUCUCUUUAGUAUCUGAAAUAUACGUAGAAUAAAUUAUGGUGUGUAGGGAUUAUUUUCUGACUUAGUGUGGGUGUUGGUGUUUUAAACAAUGAUAACAUGUUGGAAAAUGUUGACUUAAUUUGGUGUGUCAAGAUAUUUGUUGAGGGGAGUCGGGCGGUGGCGCAGCGGGUUAAGCGCAUGUGGCGCAAAUCGCCAGGACCUGAGUAAGGAUCCCAGUUCAAGCCCCCGGCUUCCCACCUGCAGGGGAGUCGCUUCACAAGCGGUGAAGCAGGUCUGCAGGUGUCUGUCUUUCUCUCCUCUCUGUCUUCCCCUCCUCUCUCCAUUUCUCUCUGUCCUAUCCAACAACAACGACAUUAAUAACCACAACAAU